Molecule: long non-coding RNA, 348 nt
Organism: Corticium candelabrum
Lineage: Eukaryota; Metazoa; Porifera; Homoscleromorpha; Homosclerophorida; Plakinidae
Exons: 2
Source: RefSeq, a predicted model, not a curated record
CUUGAAACAAGAUGGCGGAUCUACCGAAGUCGUUUGCUGAAACUAGGAUUCGAGAUGCCGCACAAUGGUUUUUAACUAACAGGAGAGGUCUUUUGUCAAGAACCGUUGCAAACUACCGUCAAAAGCACAUCUUGUCGAGAAGUGCUGGUAUCAAGCCUUUCGUUCACUUUGUGGCCCUAGUUAUUGUUGUAAACUACUUCAUUCAAUAUCCUCGCGCUAAAGCACACGAGAGACGGAGAGAAUUUCACUGACUGAUGUGGCUGGAAGGGACUCUAGAGUUCAGCUAGUGACUUGGUGUAUUAUCUUGUGUUACUGUUAACGUCGUUGAAAAAAUCUGUUCAACCUCAA